Molecule: unclassified non-coding RNA, 347 nt
Filed under: soil metagenome
Description: partial contains 5.8S ribosomal RNA, internal transcribed spacer 2, and large subunit ribosomal RNA
Rfam family: 5.8S ribosomal RNA (bases 1-120)
Source: RNAcentral
GAUGAAGAACGUAGCGAAAUGCGAUAAGUAAUGUGAAUUGCAGAAUUCAGUGAAUCAUCGAGUCUUUGAACGCACAUUGCGCCCCCUGGUAUUCCGGGGGGCAUGCCUGUCCGAGCGUCAUUGCUGCCCUCAAGCACGGCUUGUGUGUUGGGCCGUCGUCCCCCUCCUAGGGGACGGGCCCGAAAGGCAGCGGCGGCACCGCGUCCGGUCCUCGAGCGUAUGGGGCUUCGUCACCCGCUCCGUAGGCCCGGCCGGCGCUUGCCGACGACCAUCAAUCUCUUUCUCCAGGUUGACCUCGGAUCAGGUAGGGAUACCCGCUGAACUUAAGCAUAUCAAUAAUCGGAGGA